UUCUAUGGCUAUGCCACCCUGAACAAGCCCGAUCCCAUCUGAUCUCGGAAGCUAAGCAGGGUCGGGCCUGGUUAGUACUUGGAUGGGAGACCACCUAGGAAGACCAGGUGCUGUAGGUG
Molecule: ribosomal RNA, 119 nt
Filed under: Pteropus alecto (black flying fox)
Lineage: Eukaryota; Metazoa; Chordata; Mammalia; Chiroptera; Pteropodidae
Also listed under: 1 other name
Source: RNAcentral